UACAGAGGUCUCAACCGUUGUUCGGAUUCAUUGGGCGUAAAGGGCGCGUAGGCGGCCUUCUAAGUCGAACGUGAAAUCCCCGGGCUCAACCCGGGAACUGCGUCCGAUACUGGGAGGCUUGAAUCCGGGAGAGGGAUGUGGAAUUCCAGGUGUAGCGGUGAAAUGCGUAGAUAUCUGGAGGAACAUCGGUGGCGAAGGCGGCAUCCUGGACCGGUAUUGACGCUGAGGCGCGAAAGCCAGGGGAGCAAACGGG
Molecule: ribosomal RNA, 253 nt
Filed under: uncultured bacterium
Lineage: Bacteria
Description: partial 16S ribosomal RNA
Rfam family: Bacterial small subunit ribosomal RNA
Source: RNAcentral